CCUACGGGACGCAGCAGUGAGGAAUAUUGGUCAAUGGGCGCGAGCCUGAACCAGCCAAGUAGCGUGAAGGAUGACUGCCCUACGGGUUGUAAACUUCUUUUAUAUGGGAAUAAAUUGUUCCACGUGUAGGCUUUUGUAUGUACCCUAUGAAUAAGGAUCGGCUAAAUCCGUGCCAGCAGCCGCGGUAAUACGGAGGAUCCGAACGUUAGCCGGAUUUCUUGGGUUUACAGGGAGCGUCGGCGGAUUGUUAAGUCAGUUGGGAAAGUUUGGGGCUCAACCGUAAAAUUGCAGUUGAUACUGGCAGGGUUGAGUACAGUAGAGGUAGGCGGAAGUCGUGGUGUAGCGGUGAAAUGCUUAGAUAUCACGAAGAACUCCGAUUGCGAAGGCAGCCCACUGGACUGCAACUGACGCUGAGGCUCGAAAGUGUGGGUAUCAAACAGGAUUAGAUACCCUAGUAGUC
RNAcentral lists this ribosomal RNA (460 nucleotides) under uncultured bacterium. RNAcentral's name for it is "partial 16S ribosomal RNA". It matches the Rfam family "Bacterial small subunit ribosomal RNA", at positions 338 to 795 of the family's 1533-position model. The record is from RNAcentral.